UACGUAGGCAGCGAGCGUUGUUCGGAAUUACUGGGCGUAAAGCGCGCGUAGGCGGCUUUGCAAGUCGGGUGUGAAAUCCCCAGGCCUAACCUGGGAACUGCAUUCGAGACUGCAUGGCUAGAGUAUCGGAGAGGGAAGUGGAACUUCAGGUGUAGCGGUGAAAUGCGUAGAUAUCUGAAGGAACAUCAGUGGCGAAAGCGACUUCCUGGACGAAUACUGACGCUCAUGUGCGAAAGCGUGGGGAGCAAACAGG
RNAcentral lists this ribosomal RNA (253 nucleotides) under uncultured bacterium. Its description in RNAcentral is "partial 16S ribosomal RNA". It matches the Rfam family "Bacterial small subunit ribosomal RNA", at positions 524 to 776 of the family's 1533-position model. The record is from RNAcentral.